RNAcentral lists this unclassified non-coding RNA (253 nucleotides) under Basidiomycota sp. RNAcentral's name for it is "partial contains small subunit ribosomal RNA, internal transcribed spacer 1, and 5.8S ribosomal RNA". The stretch from base 1 to 47 matches the Rfam family "Eukaryotic small subunit ribosomal RNA", at positions 1785 to 1831 of the family's 1831-position model. Lineage: Eukaryota; Fungi; Basidiomycota. The record is from RNAcentral.
AAAGUCGUAACAAGGUUUCCGUAGGUGAACCUGCGGAAGGAUCAUUACAAAUCCAUCCACGUCUCCCUCAAAAAGAGACCACGUUGAAAUGUUCCUCCUCCUGCCUGGCGCCAGUCGCCAGCGCACGGUCGAGCUCUCUCGGCCUCCCCGUGGGGUCGCGAGAUAUAAACUGCAUCUUGUUGCCCAAAUGUACAUCUUCACUAGUUGAUCACAACUGUAAGUACAACUUAUAACAAUGGAUCUCUAGGCUCUU